CGCGCAGGCGGUCCCUUAAGUCUGAUGUGAAAGCCCACGGCUCAACCGUGGAGGGUCAUUGGAAACUGGGGGACUUGAGUGCAGAAGAGGAAAGUGGAAUUCCAUGUGUAGCGGUGAAAUGCGUAGAGAUGUGGAGGAACACCAGUGGCGAAGGCGACUUUCUGGUCUGUAACUGACGCUGAGGCGCGAAAGCGUGGGAGCAAACA
This 206-nucleotide ribosomal RNA is filed under the name uncultured bacterium. RNAcentral describes it as "partial 16S ribosomal RNA". It matches the Rfam family "Bacterial small subunit ribosomal RNA", at positions 568 to 774 of the family's 1533-position model. The record is from RNAcentral.